Molecule: long non-coding RNA, 442 nt
Organism: Prunus dulcis (almond)
Lineage: Eukaryota; Viridiplantae; Streptophyta; Magnoliopsida; Rosales; Rosaceae
Exons: 2
Source: RefSeq, a predicted model, not a curated record
AAUAUUCCAAGUUUCCAACGGUCCAACCUAUGACUGCCUCUGCCUCUGCCUCUGGUCGGCUGCCUGCCAUAAUGGAGGAUGAUGAAGAAGAGGAACCGUAAUCAUUCUCUAAACUAUGUGGCUAACUAUGUGGCUAAUGCUUUUCAGUUAGGGGUUUUUUAAUAUGGUGCUGGGAAAGAACAGGGACAUAGAGCCUCUUUUGUUGAAAUUUGGGGUGGCUUUUGCUCGUUAGUUGCUGGAUUUCUCUUUUCUCGUCUCUUUUACUAGUACAAGUCUAUUUUUUUGCAGCUCCCUUAAUUGAUACAAGGGAAUCUGUUUGGUAUUUAAAAUCUAAUGUGGUGUUUUACUUAUAUUUUUUGUCAUGGGUUGUAAAAUAUAAUUUGGUGCUUUGCUUUUUUUGUCAUGGGAUGUAACUUGUAAGAAACAACUAAUUUGAUAGUUG